CUACGGGGGGCAGCAGUUAGGAAUUUUCUGCAAUGCGCGAAAGCGUGACAGAGUGAGCCAGAGUGUUUUCCAUUUGGAAAACUUUUGUUAAAUCUAAAAAGUUUAACGAAUAAGGACUGGGUAAGACUAGUGCCAGCCGCCGCGGUGAUACUAGCGGUCCAAGUUGCAGUCAUUUUUAUUGGGUCUAAAAUAUCCGUAGCUUGUCUAGUAAGUUUCCUGUGAAAUCCGGCUUCUCAAGAGUUGGGCGGGCAGGAAAUACUGCUAAACUAGAGACUGGAAGACGUAAGGAGUACGUUCGAAGUAGCGGUAAAAUGUGUUAAUCUCGAACGGACUAACAAUAGCGAAGGCAUCUUACGAGGACAGUUCUGACAGUAAAGGAUGAAGGCUAGGGGCGCAAAACGGAUUAGAUACCCUAGUAGUC
This 421-nucleotide ribosomal RNA is filed under the name uncultured archaeon. RNAcentral's name for it is "partial 16S ribosomal RNA". It matches the Rfam family "Archaeal small subunit ribosomal RNA", at positions 323 to 746 of the family's 1478-position model. The record is from RNAcentral.